UUACCCGUCCGGGCUAAAUCCAUUUUACACGUAUUCUUCGGGAGGGCUAUAUCAGAAUAGGAUCACCCGUCCGGGCUAGAUCCUUUUUACCGUCAAUUCCUUUUCAGAGAUCCAUCGAAUUUUCCUUUCAUUCAACCGGGAUUUAUUUUCAAUUUAUAUCGAGUAUUAUCAAUAUUUCAUCAAAUAUCAUGAAUUGAACAUUCAAAUCAUAUUUUCAUCACAUAACCACAUAUUUCAAGUAUUUAAAAUACAAUUCAAGUUACACCAACUUACCU
This 275-nucleotide long non-coding RNA is filed under the name Gossypium barbadense (sea-island cotton). Its description in RNAcentral is "long non-coding RNA (GBAR_LNC007855)". Lineage: Eukaryota; Viridiplantae; Streptophyta; Magnoliopsida; Malvales; Malvaceae. The record is from RNAcentral.